GCGCAGAUAUCAGGAGGAACACCAGUGGCGAAGGCGGUUCUCUGGGCCUUUCCUGACGCUGAGGAGCGAAAGCGUGGGGAGCGAACAGGCUUAGAUACCCUGGUAGUCCACGCUGUAAACGGUGGGUACUAGGUGUGGGGUCCAUUCCACGGGUUCCGUGCCGUAGCUAACGCUUUAAGUACCCCGCCUGGGGAGUACGGCCGCAAGGCUAAAACUCAAAGGAAUUGACGGGGCCCCGCACAAGCGGCGGAGCAUGCGGAUUAAUUCGAUGCAACGCGUAGAACCUUACCUGGGUUUGACAUGGAUCGGGAGUGCUCAGAGAUGGGUGUGCCUCUUUUGGGGUCGGUUCACAGGUGGUGCAUGGCUGUCGUCAGCUCGUG
Molecule: ribosomal RNA, 380 nt
Filed under: uncultured soil bacterium
Lineage: Bacteria
Description: bacterial SSU rRNA
Rfam family: Bacterial small subunit ribosomal RNA
Source: RNAcentral